UUUUGCGCAGGUACACACACUAAGGCCCCGUUUGUUUACCUCUUAAUUAAAAAAUUAAGAGGUAACCUCUUAAAAAUUCAGAUAUAGAUCGUUUGGUAGCCUCUUAUUUUUUGGCUCUUAAUUUUUUAAUAUUUCAGAUAUAGAAUGGAGUCUGAAAAAGAAAUAAAAGACACUUCUUCCUUUUUUGCCCACCGUUCUUCUAUUUACGUAUAAGCCUCCGCCUAGACCUUCUUCUCUCGAUCGUGCACACCUUCCGCCUCCACCAUCCGCGCUCCGAUCCUGUCACCGCCGCCAGCCUCUUUUGCUUCCAACUCCGUCAAAACUCGAAGACAACAUCAGGUAAGGUUUUUUCUUAAAUCGAUUUUAUGUAAUUGAUUUAAGAUCUCUAUUUCUUUCUCCCUUCGUCGGCGACACCACACUCAUAACACCUUUCCAUAGUCGCUGCCUCUUCUGCCAUAACUAUUGUUGCUUCCGUCUUCCCUACAGCCACCGCCCUGGAGCAAUCAAUUUCAUGGUUUGAUGUCUGGAGAAAUCGAUUUCGAGUUUUGACAUUUACAAUCGAUUUCAAGUUUUGACGUCCGAUGCUCAUCAGAUGCUUUGAAUCAAAUUUUGAUAUCUAGCGUUAUUUUUGAAAUAUAACCUGAUGCAAGCUUGAAAAUCGAUUUGUGGCCUUUGUGGUUGAACUAGUUCUUGGUUAUCUAUUUAUGACUUUGAAGUUGUUUCCAUGAAAUUUGAUGAUAACUGUAUACACAUGUGACCCUGAUUAUGUUACUUGGAACAAGUUACUGGAUACAUGAUAGAUUUUUAGAGGUUGUCCCCGAUUAUGAGCCUGAACUGAAAUUAUAUUUCUUUAAUCCAACUGAAUUUGAUUUGGAAGGUUACUGGAACAUUGUGUUGAAAAGAAUGGUGAAGCAACAUUAGUGGCUGCAGAGAGGGAGAGGUUUCAAAAGACUGUCAUUUUGCUCAAGGAAUCAAAAGAAAUAAUCAAAAAAUGGAUGGAUGGUAUUUCAGCUAUAAAUGGAUUUUUCUAUAAUUUUCUGCAUUAAAAGUGUAAAAUUUAUAUGUUGAGUUUUUAACAGAUUAUUUGUUGUUUCAUUGUCCUAAUUUGGUUUUUUUGGUGAAUUUGUAUUUGAAAGCUGUGAACAUAUAUAGUGGAUUAAAAGUUGUAAUUUCCUUCAAACUUUUGGUAGUUUUAUUAAUAUUUAUUAUUAUUUUUAAACAAAAGGGUAAAAUUGUCAUUUUUAUCUUUCAGAACAACAGUUCAGAUGUUCCAACCAAACAACAUUUUAAAAUUCAGAUCUUAAAAAUUCAGACCCUCUUAGAAAUUCAGACCUCUUAAAAAUUCAGAUCCUACCAAAUGGCCCCUAACUCUUUAACAUGUAUAAUAAUGUUGUAUUAUAUAACUUAGUAACACUCACUCAUCAACUCACCUUAUAAUACUCUAUUUUUGUAUCUCGAUUGUACUCACUCAAAAUAUAAUAAUACAUCCAUAUGUAUCUCAAUUACGCUGGCAUGUUUCCUCAUAUAGAAUAAAAUGCUAUAAUUCUCAAGUAUGCAAUUACUCAACUCACACGAUAUUAAAAAAUAUUGGUUCAUAU
Molecule: long non-coding RNA, 1598 nt
Filed under: Lactuca sativa (garden lettuce)
Lineage: Eukaryota; Viridiplantae; Streptophyta; Magnoliopsida; Asterales; Asteraceae
Description: long non-coding RNA (LSAT_LNC009318)
Source: RNAcentral